Molecule: ribosomal RNA, 460 nt
Filed under: uncultured bacterium
Lineage: Bacteria
Description: partial 16S ribosomal RNA
Rfam family: Bacterial small subunit ribosomal RNA
Source: RNAcentral
CCUACGGGAGGCAGCAGUGAGGAAUAUUGGGCAAUGGACGAGAGUCUGAACCAGCCACGCAGCGUGAAGGAUGACGGCCCUAUGGGUUGUAAACUUCUUUUAUAUGGGAAUAAAAUGUUACACGUGUGGGAUUUUGUAUGUACCAUAUCAAUAUGGAUCGGCUAACUCCGUUCCAGUAGCCGCAGUAAUACGGAGGAUCCGAGCGUUAUACGGAUGUAUUGGGUGUAAAGGGAGCGUAGGUGGAUUGUUAAGUCAGUUGUGAAAGUCAGCGGCUCAACCGUAGGAUUGCAUUUGAAACUGGCAGUCUUGAGUACAGUAGAGGUAGGCGGAAUUCGUGGUGUAGCGGUGAAAUGCUUAGAUAUCACGAAGAACUCCGAUUGCGAAGGCAGUUCACUGGACUGCAACUGACACUGAGGCUCGAAAGUGUGGGUAUCAAACAGGAUUAGAUACCCGGGUAGUC